Molecule: ribosomal RNA, 407 nt
Filed under: uncultured prokaryote
Also listed under: 1 other name
Description: bacterial SSU rRNA
Rfam family: Bacterial small subunit ribosomal RNA
Source: RNAcentral
UCGGGAAUAUUGGACAAUGGAGGAAACUCUGAUCCAGUGACGCCGCGUGAAGGAAGAAGGUCUUCGGAUUGUAAACUUAUUUUGUCAGGGAAGAAACAAAUGACAGUACCUGAAGAAAAAGCACCGGCCAACUACGUGCCAGCAGCCGCGGUAAUACGUAGGGUGCAAGCGUUAUCCGGAUUUACUGGGUGUAAAGGGCGAGUAGACGGUUAUCUAAGUCAGUCGUGAAAACUUAGUGCUCAACAUUAAGCGUGCGACUGAAACUAGACUACUAGAGUGCAGGAGAGGAAAAUGGAAUUCCUAGUGUAGCGGUGAAAUGCGUAGAUAUUAGGAGGAACACCAGUGGCGAAGGCGAUUUUCUGGACUGUAACUGACGUUGAGGCGCGAAAGUGUGGGGAGCAAACAGG